RNAcentral lists this transfer RNA (90 nucleotides) under Felis catus (domestic cat). It matches the Rfam family "tRNA". From Rfam's summary of the family: Transfer RNA (tRNA) molecules are approximately 80 nucleotides in length. Their secondary structure includes four short double-helical elements and three loops (D, anti-codon, and T loops). Lineage: Eukaryota; Metazoa; Chordata; Mammalia; Carnivora; Felidae. The record is from Rfam by way of RNAcentral.
GCCUGGGUGGCUCAGUCAGUUGAGUGCCUGACUUUGGCUCAGGUCAUGAUCUAUCUCACAGCUCUGUGGGUUCGAGCCCCACAUCGGGCU